This is a long non-coding RNA of Hypanus sabinus (Atlantic stingray), 489 nucleotides long. RefSeq lists it as uncharacterized. The transcript is spliced from 4 exons. The record is from RefSeq and is a predicted model, not a curated record. NCBI's taxonomy places the organism in Eukaryota, Metazoa, Chordata, Chondrichthyes, Myliobatiformes, Dasyatidae.
GGAUCGUCGAUGGGCAGCCGGAGGACCGAUCACUGUCAGCGGGACAAAUUCAUCAAGUUCUCAUCGGUGAGUAUUGAGGUCGGUCACAAGAGCUGAACGAGACCGACAAUUUCCCAUCGAUCAGCACCAGCAGCAGGUGGUCUCUUCCACCCGGAAGACAGACAAGAAGACGACAAUUAACCAACGUCAGUCAGAGUCAGAAUGGACACAGAUCUGAACUCCGGAAUCUCCGCCUUCCUGUCAAAUUGUGAGGAUCACCAAUUGUUCCUGUUGUCGAGAUUCUACAUGGAGCGACUGGAGCAGGCGAUUGAGGAGGGUGUGGAGGGAGUCGGCUUCAUGUUAAUGGGCGAGGAUCACUUCUCCGGGCCAGAGUAUCACAGCGUGACUGUGCUCGCGGAGAAGGGAAACCGAUCGGGCGCUUCCAAACUCCUCCUGGAUCUGGUGAUGGAGAAGGGCUCCGGGGCUCGGAGGGUGAUGUGGGAAUCCUUC